This is a long non-coding RNA of Oncorhynchus tshawytscha (Chinook salmon), 4682 nucleotides long. The record is from Ensembl. NCBI's taxonomy places the organism in Eukaryota, Metazoa, Chordata, Actinopteri, Salmoniformes, Salmonidae.
UCUGCCGCUGUGUACUCUCUGUGUAGGGCCAAAUAGCAUUCUAGUUUGCUCUGUUUUUUUGUUAAUUCUUUCCAAUGUGUCAAGUAAUUAUCUUUUUGUUUCCUCAUGAUUUGGUUGGGUCUAAUUGUGCUGCUGUCCUGUGGCUCUGUAGUGUGUGUUUGUGUUUGUGAACAGAGCCCCAGGACCAGCUUGCUUAGGGGACUCUUCUCCAGGUUUUUUUUCUCUGUAGGUGAUGGCUUUGUUAUGGAAGGUUUGGGAAUCGCUUCCUCUUAGGUGGUUGUUGAAUUUAACGUCUCUUUUCUGGAUUUUUAUAAUUAGUGGGUAUCGGCCUAAUUCUGCUCUGCAUGCAUUAUUUGGUGUUCUACGUUGUACACAGGAUAUUUUUGCAGAAUUCUGCGUGCAGAGUCUCAAUUUGGUGUUUGUCCCAUUUUGUGAAUUCUUGGUUGGUUAGUGGACCCCAGACCUCACAACCAUAAAGGGCAAUGGGUUCUAUAACUAUAUUUUUAGCCAGACCCUAAUUUGUAUGUCAAAUUUUAUGUUUCUUUUGAUGGCAUAGAAUGCCCUUCUUGCCUUGUCUCUCAGAUCGUUCACAGCUUUGUGGAAGUUACGUGUGGUGCUGAUGUUUAGGCCAAGGUAUGUUUAAUUUUUUGUGUGCUCUAGGGCAACGGUGUCUAGAUGGAAUUUGUAUUUGUGGUCCUGGUGACUUUUUUUGGAACAUUUAUUUUUGUCUUACUGAGAUUUACUGUCAGGGCCCAGAUCUGUUAGGGCCCAGAUCUGUUAGGGCCCAGUCUGUCAGGGCCCAGGUCUGUUAGGGCCCAGAUCUGACAGAAUCUGUGCAGUAGAUCGAGGUUUGACAUUUGCUCAGUACCAUGUUUUCACUGAGGAAAUGUACGAGUCAGCUGUUAAUGAUAAUGCAGAGGAUUUUUCCAAGGCAGGUCUCACAAUAGUUAUUGGGGUCAAAUUUGUCUCCACUUUUGUGGAUUGGGGUGAUCAGUCCUUGGUUCUAAAUAUUGGGGAAGAUGCCAGAGCUAAGGAGGAUGUUAAAGAGUUUUAGUAUAGCCAAUUUGGAAUUUGUUGUCUGUAUAUUUGAUCAUUUCAUUGAGGAUACCAUCAACACCACAGGCCUUUUUGGGUUGGAGGGUUUUUAUUUUGUCCUUUAGUUCAUUCAAUUUAAUAAGAGAUUCCAGUGGGUUCUGGGAGUCUUUAAUAGUUGAUUCUAAGAUCUGUAUUUGAUCCUGUAUAUGUUUUUGCUGUUUUUUGUUAUAAGGCCAAAAAGAUUGGAGAAGUGUUUUUUUUUAAUACCAUUAUUUAACUAGGCAAGUGGGUUAAGAAAAAAUUCUUAUUUUCAAUGACGGCCUAGGAACAGCGGGUUAACUGCCUGUUCAGGGGGCAGAAUGACAAAUUUUGAAACGAUGUCAGCUCGGGGGUUUGAACUUGCAACCUUCCGUUUACUAGUCCAACGCUCUAACCACUAGGCUACCCUGCCGCCAUACCCAUACAUCUCCAAAUUGGAUAGAUAAUUCUUUGUGUUGUUGUUUGUUUAGUGUUUUCCAAUUUUCCCAGAAGUGGUUAGAGUCUAUGGAUUCUUCAAUUACAAUUACACUCGUUUUUGUUGGUUAUGUUGUUGUAGUUGUGCCUAGGGGGGGCAUAUGGGGGAGGGAAUGCUGUCACCUGCAGGUGUUUGUCCCCCUGUGUGCUGAGGGUGUCAGGUUCUUGUCCGGUUCUGGCAUUUAGGUCGCCACAGACUAGUACAUGUCCCUGGGCCUGGAAAUCAUUGAUUUCCCCCUCCAGGGUGGAGAGGUUGUCGUCAUUAAAGUAUGGAGAUUCUAGUGGGGGGAUAUAGGUAGCACACAGGAGGACAUUUUUCUCUGUUGAAAUCAUUUCCUUUUGAGUAUCUUGCUAUAAAAAAAAAAAACUAUAAAAUGUUCCUGUUUUGAUGAAUUUAAAAGAGUGAGUUAGGUCUGCUCUGUACCAAAUUAGCAUUCCCCCUGAGUCCCUUCCCUGUUUCACACCUGGUAGUUUGGUGGAAGGGAUUACCAGCUCUCGAUAACCUACAGUAAGGGGCAACCAGUGGAUCCAUCUCCUCUAUAUUAUAUUUCUUGUAGGAUGGCAAUGUCUGUAUUUCCUAUUUCUUAGAUGAAGUUCCUGCUCUUUAGGCUAAAGGCAGAUGACCUCAGAUUUCUCUCUCUAUAAAAUAAACAUUGAUGAAGGGAACAUGUAUAUAUUUAUAUUAUAUUUUUAUUUAUACAUCUAUAUUUGUGACUCGUUUCAGGGCACUAGGUGUAUGUCACUACUUCACAGGAGAGGCAUUUGAGCAUAAAAAUACAUUUUUUUUGAUAGCCUUCUGAAACAUGUCACCUUUCAAGUGUCUUAAUAAUAAACUUGUUUGCCAUCUGUAAAUACAAAAUAAAAUGUUUUAAAUUACGCGCCUAGUUAGUGUGGGCUGGACAUGCUAAGAGAUGAGUUCUGAUUGGUCUGCCAUGUAGCGCGCUUCUGUCUCUAACAUGAGCUGGUCAGUAUGUGUAGGUAAUCCUUUCUAACACAGUUUUUUUGAAAGAUGUCACAAAUAACUUACAAUGUGUUGCUAAUGCUCUCCUCUUUCUGGAGGACGAUCGUGCCAUGCUGACUAAUCUCGGACUCUGUAAAUUAAUCAGACAAUGAGGAAAUCCCUUUUUUUUUUAUAGGUAAAAAAAAAACAUUUUAAUUGAACCAGACAUUGUAGAGUCUUCUGAAACAGCAAUCAACAACAGUAUAGUUGUCACGGAAGAAGUUGACCAAGUUUUGACAUCAUUGUAAUGCCCGGUGGAAGCACAGUAUGAUAGCUGAGGAGUAGGAGAAAACUCUGGCGUUCGAUUGCAAAUAUAUAAGGAGUCGAAAAGAGAACACAUAGAAGGUGUACAUUGUUUACAUCUUCAAACUAAGCGCAACCAUGGCAACCAUCGUGACGGAGAGGGAUCAGCGUUCGUCCACGUAUACGGGUAAGAGAGUCUAGCUAACUACAUUUUAAUAAGAUAGUAAACAUUUCUAAUUUUGUAAGAAAGUCAUUUUCAUUGCAAGUUAAAGCGUACUGUUAGCUAGCUAGCUUACGUCAGCUGGCUCGCUCGCUAGUACAGUAUCUCAGAAAACCAUUUGCAUUGCUAGUUAUAGCCUAAUGUUAGCUAGCUAGCUGACAUUGAAACUAGUUGGUUUCGAGCGCUGCCAGAUUGUUGGGGCUCCCGGGUGACGCAGCGGUCUAAGGCACUGCAUCUCAGUGCUAGAGGUAUCACUACAGACCCUAGUUCGAUCCCGGGCUGUAUCACAACAGGCCGUGAAUUGGGAGUCCCAUAGGGCGGCGCACAUAGGGCAGCAUCGUUAGUGGAGGGAUUGGCCGGGGUAGGGCGUCACUGUAAAUAAGAAUUUGUUCUUAACUGACUUGUCUAGUUUCAGAUUCAUGCAUGGUAGUAACGUUGGGAUUAUAGUUCAUUGUUUAGCUAGCUAGCUACAUGUCUAAAUAAAAGACUCCAUUAUGCAAGGAACCAUUUCACUGUACCAACUCCUGUAUCCUGUAUCCUGUGCAUGUGACGAAUAAACUUUGAUUUAUGUUGUGUUGUGUUUACCAGAGACGGUAAUGUGAAGAUAACAUGACCUGCACCAAAGUCAAAUUAAUGUUAAGCCCAUAGUCAUGUAGAAUGCACUGUUUUCAUUUCAUCACAAUCACAACCGUAAGCUUUUUUCUGUAAUUAGCUCGCUAUUAACUUGCAACUAAUGAUCUUGUUGUGAGUUUUAUAUUUUCCUGUAAUAAUGAAUACAAAUUUGCUAAAGAGAAGACAUUGUCAGCUAUAAUAUGGUGAUUAUAUCAACUGACUAGCCAGAUAACUUAACGUUAGCUAGCUAACAAGCUAGAAACUAACCAAAACAUUGUUUAGAAAGUUGCUUUUAGUUACCUGGUUUGCUAGAUUGACACAAAGUGCCUUGCAAAAGUAUUCAUCCCCCUUGGCGAUUUUCCUAUUUUGUUGCAUUACAACCUGCAAUUUAAAUUGAUUUUUAUUUGGAUGUCAUGUAAUGGACAAAGACAAAAUAUUCCAAAUUGAUGAAGUGAAAUGAAAAAAAUAACUUGUUUCAAAAAAUUCCAAAAAAUAAAAACUGGAAAAGUGGUGCGUGCGUAUGUAUUCACCCCCUUUGCUAUUGAUGGAGUUCACAUUGGGGUCAUGAUAGGGGCUGCACCAAAUGUUUGAUGUAUUAUAAUAAUUGAUUAUGCUUAUGUUGUAGUAAUAGAAGGGGGGGGUUAUAAGACCCAUCCCUCACUACAUUUAGAAGGCCCUAGACUACAGAUUAACAAUAUAUAUUUAUUAUAAGGAUUCAAAUUGUUCCACUUUUCUUUUAUAGUCUCUGCCUCUUAUAAAGAAACUGUCUGAAAGAUGUGUGUUAUUGCAGUCAAAACAGGGUGUCUGUGAGAAAGCUCCUAAAGGCUAACAGAGAUUCAUAGACACAGAACCCUGCAGGGGAGUGAAAGAGAUAAGAGACUAGUCAGACAUACCACUAUAAAUCAACUUGGGGAGUGGACAUUUACUGCUGAGCCUUUAGAAAACACUGAAACUAUUAGUUGUAUAGCUGUGUAUGCAUGGGCUUGGUCUCAUGAGUAGAAGGUAAUGAUGUAGGCAGUGACAUCACUAGGGGUUGACUGCAAGCAUAAUAAAACUUGG